CCUACGGGAGGCAGCAGUGGGGAAUAUUGCGCAAUGGGCGAAAGCCUGACGCAGCGACGCCGCGUGAGGGAUGAAGGUCUUCGGAUCGUAAACCUCUGUCAGCAGGGAAGAACGGUCACUGUGCUAAUCAGCAGUGAAUUGACGGUACCUGCAAAGGAAGCACCGGCUAACUCCGUGCCAGCAGCCGCGGUAAUACGGAGGGUGCGAGCGUUAAUCGGAAUUACUGGGCGUAAAGGGCUCGUAGGCGGUAUGUCAAGUCAAGGGUGAAAUCCCCGCGCUCAACGUGGGAACUGCCUUUGAAACGGGCAAACUGGAGUGUGAGAGAGGAAGGUGGAAUUCCUGGUGUAGGGGUGAAAUGCGUAGAUAUCAGGAGGAACAUCAGUGGCGAAGGCGACUAUCUGGAACGUAACUGACGCUGAGGAGCGAAAGCGUGGGUAGCAAACAGGAUUAGAUACCCCGGUAGUC
This 465-nucleotide ribosomal RNA is filed under the name uncultured bacterium. RNAcentral describes it as "partial 16S ribosomal RNA". It matches the Rfam family "Bacterial small subunit ribosomal RNA", at positions 338 to 795 of the family's 1533-position model. The record is from RNAcentral.